UGGCUCAGAGCGAACGCUGGCGGCAGGCCUAACACAUGCAAGUCGUGCGCCCCGCAAGGGGAGCGGCGGACGGGUGAGUAACGCGUGGGAAUGUGUCCUCGGGUGGGGGAUAACCCUGGGAAACUAGGGCUAAUACCGCAUGAUGUCUGCGGACCAAAGCCGCAAGGCGCCCGAGGAGCAGCCCGCGUCCGAUUAGCUAGUUGGUGGGGUAAUGGCCUACCAAGGCGACGAUCGGUAGCUGGUCUGAGAGGAUGAUCAGCCACACUGGGACUGAGACACGGCCCAGACUCCUACGGGAGGCAGCAGUGGGGAAUAUUGGACAAUGGGCGAAAGCCUGAUCCAGCCAUGCCGCGUGGGUGAAGAAGGCCCUAGGGUUGUAAAGCCCUUUCGGGCGGGGGACGAUGAUGACGGGUACCGCAGAAGAAGCCCCGGGCUAACUUCGUGCCAGCCGCCGCGGGUAAC
Molecule: ribosomal RNA, 462 nt
Filed under: uncultured Elioraea sp.
Lineage: Bacteria; Pseudomonadati; Pseudomonadota; Alphaproteobacteria; Acetobacterales; Elioraeaceae
Description: bacterial SSU rRNA
Rfam family: Bacterial small subunit ribosomal RNA
Source: RNAcentral